CACGUAGGGGGCAAGCGUUGUCCGGAUUUAUUGGGCGUAAAGAGCUCGUAGGCGGCUCAGUAAGUCAGGUGUGAAACCUCCAGGCUCAACCUGGAGACGCCACCUGAUACUGCUGUGGCUAGAGUCCGGUAGGGGAGCGUGGAAUUCCUGGUGUAGCGGUGAAAUGCGCAGAUAUCAGGAGGAACACCAGCGGCGAAGGCGGCGCUCUGGGCCUUACCUGACGCUGAGGAGCGAAAGCGUGGGUAGCGAACAGG
RNAcentral lists this ribosomal RNA (254 nucleotides) under uncultured bacterium. RNAcentral's name for it is "partial 16S ribosomal RNA". It matches the Rfam family "Bacterial small subunit ribosomal RNA", at positions 524 to 776 of the family's 1533-position model. The record is from RNAcentral.